Molecule: ribosomal RNA, 1560 nt
Filed under: Staphylococcus aureus subsp. aureus CGS00
Lineage: Bacteria; Bacillati; Bacillota; Bacilli; Caryophanales; Staphylococcaceae
Also listed under: 4 other names
Description: 16S ribosomal RNA
Rfam family: Bacterial small subunit ribosomal RNA
Source: RNAcentral
UUUUAUGGAGAGUUUGAUCCUGGCUCAGGAUGAACGCUGGCGGCGUGCCUAAUACAUGCAAGUCGAGCGAACGGACGAGAAGCUUGCUUCUCUGAUGUUAGCGGCGGACGGGUGAGUAACACGUGGAUAACCUACCUAUAAGACUGGGAUAACUUCGGGAAACCGGAGCUAAUACCGGAUAAUAUUUUGAACCGCAUGGUUCAAAAGUGAAAGACGGUCUUGCUGUCACUUAUAGAUGGAUCCGCGCUGCAUUAGCUAGUUGGUAAGGUAACGGCUUACCAAGGCAACGAUGCAUAGCCGACCUGAGAGGGUGAUCGGCCACACUGGAACUGAGACACGGUCCAGACUCCUACGGGAGGCAGCAGUAGGGAAUCUUCCGCAAUGGGCGAAAGCCUGACGGAGCAACGCCGCGUGAGUGAUGAAGGUCUUCGGAUCGUAAAACUCUGUUAUUAGGGAAGAACAUAUGUGUAAGUAACUGUGCACAUCUUGACGGUACCUAAUCAGAAAGCCACGGCUAACUACGUGCCAGCAGCCGCGGUAAUACGUAGGUGGCAAGCGUUAUCCGGAAUUAUUGGGCGUAAAGCGCGCGUAGGCGGUUUUUUAAGUCUGAUGUGAAAGCCCACGGCUCAACCGUGGAGGGUCAUUGGAAACUGGAAAACUUGAGUGCAGAAGAGGAAAGUGGAAUUCCAUGUGUAGCGGUGAAAUGCGCAGAGAUAUGGAGGAACACCAGUGGCGAAGGCGACUUUCUGGUCUGUAACUGACGCUGAUGUGCGAAAGCGUGGGGAUCAAACAGGAUUAGAUACCCUGGUAGUCCACGCCGUAAACGAUGAGUGCUAAGUGUUAGGGGGUUUCCGCCCCUUAGUGCUGCAGCUAACGCAUUAAGCACUCCGCCUGGGGAGUACGACCGCAAGGUUGAAACUCAAAGGAAUUGACGGGGACCCGCACAAGCGGUGGAGCAUGUGGUUUAAUUCGAAGCAACGCGAAGAACCUUACCAAAUCUUGACAUCCUUUGACAACUCUAGAGAUAGAGCCUUCCCCUUCGGGGGACAAAGUGACAGGUGGUGCAUGGUUGUCGUCAGCUCGUGUCGUGAGAUGUUGGGUUAAGUCCCGCAACGAGCGCAACCCUUAAGCUUAGUUGCCAUCAUUAAGUUGGGCACUCUAAGUUGACUGCCGGUGACAAACCGGAGGAAGGUGGGGAUGACGUCAAAUCAUCAUGCCCCUUAUGAUUUGGGCUACACACGUGCUACAAUGGACAAUACAAAGGGCAGCGAAACCGCGAGGUCAAGCAAAUCCCAUAAAGUUGUUCUCAGUUCGGAUUGUAGUCUGCAACUCGACUACAUGAAGCUGGAAUCGCUAGUAAUCGUAGAUCAGCAUGCUACGGUGAAUACGUUCCCGGGUCUUGUACACACCGCCCGUCACACCACGAGAGUUUGUAACACCCGAAGCCGGUGGAGUAACCUUUUAGGAGCUAGCCGUCGAAGGUGGGACAAAUGAUUGGGGUGAAGUCGUAACAAGGUAGCCGUAUCGGAAGGUGCGGCUGGAUCACCUCCUUUCUAAGGA